ACACAAGCGGCUUCCAGGGGAAGUUUGGGUCCAAAACCCUAAAAAUAGAAAAAAGAGCGGCACCCAUUGGCGUUCUUAUAUUGAUUUUGUAACCAGUUCCUUUCCGCUCCAUCAUCUUCCAUCUCUCUCUCUUCACCCACCAUUCCAUUCCAUGGCUGUGCUCAGGUCCAGCGGAAUACUCCCAACUGUACCCUCAAACAACAAAGGGACCACAUCCGAACCUGUCACUCCCUCUCGAACUCGCGAACCUUCCACUCACCAAUCCCCUCCCACCCCCAACCCCCCCGGUGUUUCCCUUCUGGGCUCUGACUCUGCCCCUCCACGCAGGCGGAGCCUCCGUCUCGCUUCGAAGUCACUUUCUUCUGCCGAUGCCUCCCUCCAAACUCCAACCCGCGAGAGGAAGAAGGGGAGUGAUGGUAAACAAGGUCGGCUUGUUAGUGAAGGUGAUGUGGUUGAGAAAAUGACCGAACGAGAUGUUGGAGGUGAAGUAUUGAGGGUUUUAAGUUUGAGGUCUGGGAAAAAGGUUGUUGAUAAUCGUAAUAUUGAAAUUGAAGGUGAAGAGGUCAAGGGUUCGAGUGUUAUGCGUACAAAAGGGAAGGGGAAGGGAAGGGGAAGGGGUAAUUUGGGUAAGAAAGUGUUAAAUUUGGAUGUUCAAGAGGAGUUUGUGGAAAUUUUUAAUGAUAACGCGGUCGAGAGAAGCGACAAUUUGGAGGAGAAGUUGAGUGAUUCGUCAAGGGGAAAGAGGAAAUGUACAGGGGAAGUAAAAAUGGAGAGAGGUGAAGAGGGUGGUGUUGCUGUGGAGGACCUGGGGAAAAGCCCUAGUGCCGAUGUGAGUGGGACUUCAACUAGAGGAAGGAGGAAAUAUAACAGAGAAGUGAAAGUGGGGGCAGUUAAAGAGGGCGUUGUCGAGGGGUUGAAGGAAAACCCAUGUACAGAUGAGAAUGGCUCUUCAAGGAGAGGGAGGAGGUAUGGUAGAGAGGGAAAAGAGAAGAGAAGUAAAGAGGGUGCUGUUGUUAUUGAGGAAUUAGGGGAAAAACCAGUUGCUCUUGAGGGUGGAAGUUCAAGGGGAAGGAUGAGGUAUAGCAGAGAAGAGAAAGGGAAGGGGAAAUUGGUUGUUGAUGAUGGUUUGAUAUCAAAUGGAAAGGAUAUGUUGCAAUUAGAACCCAGAGUUAAGAAUCUGGUUGAUGGUUUGGCAGAGAGUGUGGUUCUGGAAGAGAGAAAGGAGGGUGCGAGUACGAGAAGUAAAGUGCCUGAAUCAAGAAUGGAGAAAUUUCGUGAUAUAGCAAGGCAAAAUGCUUCUCGAUUUGCUCAUUUUGAAGUUCAGGAGCAUGAGACAGACCAUCAUGACGUAGAAAUGCCAUCUGUGGAAGAAGAGCAGGACAAAGUUGAAGACUGGCCUGGUCCUUUCUCUACUGCUAUGAAGAUUAUCAGGGAUAGAGCAAAUAGGCUUAACUUGCAACAGAGGGGCUCCACUUCAGAGAAGGAAAAACCUGUGCCAAUAACUUGGAUGCCAAAAACUGAUCGGGCGUGUAAGCGUUCAAAAGGAUCGGUUCCUUCUCUGCAAGAAUUAUGCAUGAAAAUUCUAGUGAAGAAUGCCGAUGCAAUUGCUUCGCUUGAACAUGUCCCAGAUACUUUGAGGCAUAGGCUAUGCCAAUUGCUCUGUGAUUCUCGGAGAAUGAAUGCUCAUUUUUUGGCUCUUCUUGUCCGCGGAUCACCUAUGGAGAUACGUAUUAGGGAUUGUUCGUGGCUAGCAGAGGAAGAGUUCACAAACAUUUUUGAGGUGUGCGACUCACGCAAUUUAACGGUUCUACAACUUGACCAAUGUGGACGCUGCAUGGCAGAUUAUACUUUACUUGCUACUUUAGCUCGGUCACCAGGUAGCUUGCCUAGGUUAACUACUUUAUCCAUCAGUGGAGCAUGCCGACUCUCAGAUGCUGCACUUAGUUCACUUGUUUCUUCUGCCCCUGCCCUACAAUCUUUAAAUCUCAGUCAGUGCUCCCUUCUUACCUCUGCCAGUAUUGAUACCUUAGCUGAUUCGUUGGCAACAAGUUUGCGGGAACUGUACAUUAAUGAUUGCCAAAGCAUUCAACCCAUGCUCAUUUUGCCAGCACUGAAGAAACUAGAACAUUUAGAAGUGUUGUCCCUGUCUGGAAUUCAAACCAUUAAUGAUAAUUUUUUGAGGGGAUUUAUCGUUGCACGCGGCCAUAAUAUAAAGGAGCUUGUUUUGACUGAUUGUGUGAAAUUGACUGAUUCUUCCAUGAAAGUCAUAGCUGAAACCUGCUCUAAAUUAUGUGCACUUGAUCUUGGUAACUUGAGGAAAUUGACAGAUUCUGCUUUGGGAUUUCUUGCAAAUGCUUGCCGAGAAAUCCAUACUUUGAAACUCUGCCGCAAUGCAUUCAGUGAUGAAGCUAUUGCUGCAUUUUUGGAAUCUUCUGGAGAGCUUUUAAAAGAACUUUCACUGAAUAAUGUUAAGAAGGUUGGCCACUGUACAGCAUUAUCUCUUGCUAGACGUUCAAGAAAGUUGCUAAGUUUGGAUUUGUCAUGGUGUCGGAACUUAACAAAUGAGGCUCUGGGUUUGAUUGUGGAUAGUUGUUUAUCAUUGAAGGUGCUUAAACUUUUUGGAUGCAGUCAGGUUACAAAUGUUUUUUUAGAUGGUCACUCAAAUUCAGAUGUACAAAUUAUUGGCUUGAAGACGUCUCCUGUACUGGAACAUAUCAUGGUUCCUGAACUGCAAGAAUUUGCAUUGCGUUAUUCCUCAGUGUCUUCUAUCUGAAGUAUGUGUUAUAGUUAUGAGGGUGGAAUGAACAUCAGUAGCGGCCAGGGAAACUUUUGGAGUUCAGCCCAUUAUCAAUACCUGAAGAUAGGACUUUUGAGAUGCUUUAACCAAGAAAAGAAGACAUGAUUAUUGGGCUGUGCAUACAAGUAGAUUGGACUGAUUAACAUUAUUGACCCUCUAUGGUUGAUGCCUGCAGCCGUCAUCAAGUAGCCUUUUUAGCACGGCUCAUUUUUAAAUGAGUUGUCGAACAGUUCUCCAUCCAGUAAACUAAAUAUACAGGCAAAAUUAUGUCCUGCAAAAAUGGUAUCCAGCUUGCUAGAAAAAAAGGUUAUGCAAACUAGAAAUACAAAAGGGUUUUAACCACAAAAGUUAGGAAUGAUGAUCGGUCAAUGGGUUUACUGCUUUCCUAUGUAGAUUGAUUUCUUAAAAUCUUCCAAAAAGAGGAUUAAGAACAUUUUUGGUACUCUUAGUUUUAACUUGUUUUGUGGCUUUUACUGGAUCAUUGGCCCGCCACCACCUUGCAAGGAGUUUUUGAUUUAGCUACAGUUGGGGGAUUUGUACUUGAAAGGAGAUGAUGGAUAAAUUGUCACAAAAAACUUCAGCGUGCUCAGCACAAGAUGAAACAAAUUUCAGAUAAAGGAAGAACUGAGAGAGAGUUUUUAGUGGAGGAUUAUGUGUAUUAGAAAUAGCAACCCUGCAGGCAAGGAACUGUAGCUUUGAGGAAGAAU
Populus euphratica (Euphrates poplar) is the source of this 3504-nucleotide RNA transcript. It is a transcript of the gene named F-box/LRR protein, with no coding region annotated. NCBI's taxonomy places the organism in Eukaryota, Viridiplantae, Streptophyta, Magnoliopsida, Malpighiales, Salicaceae. The transcript has 7 exons. The record is from RefSeq and is a predicted model, not a curated record.